Long non-coding RNA from Gossypium raimondii (Peruvian cotton), 1170 nucleotides. RefSeq lists it as uncharacterized. The transcript has 4 exons. The record is from RefSeq and is a predicted model, not a curated record. NCBI's taxonomy places the organism in Eukaryota, Viridiplantae, Streptophyta, Magnoliopsida, Malvales, Malvaceae.
UAAAAUUAGGGAUAGGGGGAGUUAAUUAAAGGAUUUAGGGGGUAGUGGUGAUUGAGUGGAAUUCUGUGCUUCCUAAAUUUUUACUUUUCAGAGAAAAAGGUGAGCGAACGUCUCCCUUCCUCCCUUGGCUGAAUCUUCUCCCUCUUUUCAUCAUUCCCCUUCAUUUUUUUUGUCGAUUCUUUUCUCUCCCUUGCAGCCGACUGUUUUUCCUCCUCUAGUUUUUUCUUCCUGGCUAUUAUUCUUUCUGCGAAUUGUGCCAUUGGCCUUUCUUUUCUCCUCUUUUUGUUUGUUGUUGACUACUACUAAAAAUUUCCUUCUCUCAUUGCAUUGGUUUUUCUAGGAGUCCAUUUCCUUCUCAAAUCAUUGUUGCCGCAAUUUGUCAUCUCCAUUUUGCCUUUGCGCGUUUGUGGUAAGUUUUGUAACUGUGGUGUUAUUUGGUUUAUGGAUUUUUGGUGAUAGGUCGACUAUUUCAUUGAUGAAGGUUAAGGACUAGAACGAUUCGGUUAGCAUUAGAGCUGUGUGGUUCUACCGUUACUCGUUUAGUAGAUUUUUCAGCAGCGAAUUGUGGGAGUGGUGACCUAUCUCGUACGGAUUCGUAGGUGGGGGUUGCUCAGUUUUGAAGGUACUGGGGAUCUCGGAAGUGUUUUUACGUUAGAAACAGACCAGGUGUGUAAUCAUAUCACUGAAAAUGCUAGUCGGUGAAAAAACUAAAAAAUGGGACUGACAACGCCACACAAGCAUAGGACCGCUCGUGUGGUAGGUCGUGUGAUUGAACAUGGGCGUGAGAUCGACAAGGCUGGCCAUGUUCAAUUUUUGGGCUGGGCCGAAUUGGGCCGUGUGAGCUGCACGAGCGGGUGGGCCCCACACAGACGUAUGGGAAUAUUGGGUCAAGCCGUGAGAUCCACACGACCAAGGUCAUUUUGGGCCGUGUGGGCCCACAUGGGCAUGCAACAUAGGCCGUGGGCCCAUUUUCUCUGUUUGACUGCUAAUGUUGCACGGUCACCCGAGUCGACUAUGGACCUACUGUAGGGUUGGUAAUCCCCAGACUUAGGCGGAUCGGAGCGGCGAAGGACUCAGCUGUGCCCACACAACUCCUUUUUACUGUUUUGUAUUUAAUUAGGUUUAUUUUUUAAAGCUUUAUUUGGGGUAUUUUUCUGUAAUAAUAGCUGC